RNAcentral lists this ribosomal RNA (467 nucleotides) under uncultured bacterium. Its description in RNAcentral is "partial 16S ribosomal RNA". It matches the Rfam family "Bacterial small subunit ribosomal RNA", at positions 28 to 507 of the family's 1533-position model. The record is from RNAcentral.
GACGAACGCUGGCGGCGUGCUUAACACAUGCAAGUCGAACGGAAAGGCCCUGCUUUUGUGGGGUGCUCGAGUGGCGAACGGGUGAGUAACACGUGAGUAACCUGCCCUUGACUUUGGGAUAACUUCAGGAAACUGGGGCUAAUACCGGAUAGGAGCUCCUGCUGCAUGGUGGGGGUUGGAAAGUUUCGGCGGUUGGGGAUGGACUCGCGGCUUUCAGCUUGUUGGGGGGGUGGUGGCUUACCAAGGCUUUGACGGGUAGCCGGCCUGAGAGGGUGACCGGCCACAUUGGGACUGAGAUACGGCCCAGACUCCUACGGGAGGCAGCAGUGGGGAAUAUUGCACAAUGGGCGGAAGCCUGAUGCAGCAACGCCGCGUGCGGGAUGACGGCCUUCGGGUUGUAAACCGCUUUCGCCUGUGACGAAGCGUGAGUGACGGUAAUGGGUAAAGAAGCACCGGCUAACUACGUG